CCUACGGGAGGCAGCAGUGGGGAAUAUUGCACAAUGGGGGAAACCCUGAUGCAGCAACGCCGCGUGGGUGAAGGAGCGUUUCGGCGCGUAAAGCCCUGUCAGCGGGGAAGAAGAAAGACGGUACCCGACCAAGAAGCCCCGGCUAAUUACGUGAAAGCAGCCGCGGUACUACGUAGGGGGCGAGCGUUAUCCGGAUUUACUGGGUGUAAAGGGAGCGUAGACGGCAAGGUAAGCCUGAGGUGGAAGUCCGCGGCCCAACGGCGGAACGGCUUUGGAAAUGGUUUGGUGGGAGUAGGGGGGGGUAAGCGGAAUGCGUGGUGUAGCGGUGAAAUGCGUAGAUAUCAGGAGGAACACCGGUUGCGAAGGCAGCUUACUGGACCAUAACUGACGUUGAGGCACGAAAGUGUGGGGAGCGAACAGGAUUAGAUACCCGGGUAGUC
This 440-nucleotide ribosomal RNA is filed under the name uncultured bacterium. Its description in RNAcentral is "partial 16S ribosomal RNA". It matches the Rfam family "Bacterial small subunit ribosomal RNA", at positions 338 to 795 of the family's 1533-position model. The record is from RNAcentral.